GCCACCGCGGCGACUUGGCGGCGGGUGCCAUGCGUCUGGAGCUUCACAUUCUCUGCCCCCCACCCACCGCGCCGGCGCUCCCUUGUCACGCCUCGGGAAGCGCGCACCUGCCAAGCAGGAUGAAUAAUCUGAUAUCAUGUGAAAUGAGGAAAUAAGAAGCUUUCUGCUGACUUCAUUUUGACCCAGGGUCCAAAAGGUGAUGUAAUCCUGUGGCAAGAAGAUUCAAAACUGUGGACUAUCUUGCAAAAAAUACAAGAAGAUAUUGAAAGUUUUCAUGAGUGCCUACCACCUAAUCUCAAACACUAUCAUUCAUAUGUGCCUCAUUGAGCAAAUCUUUAAUGAGGAUCUAUAUGCCAGAUAAUGUAGGCAUUGUUCCUAAGUCAUGCAGAGGGGUUGUGUAAGCAUGGUCAUUUGCAUCAUUAUCCUGCACGUCUGAUACAGCCAAACUCCACGCCACCUGGUUUGCUCAACAGCAAAAGACACGGCCGGGUGCGGUGGCUCACCCCUUUAAUCCCAGCACUUUGGAAGGCCGAGGCGGGCGGAUCAUUUGAGCAAUAUCUUUUGCUUGGGAGCAGAAACAGAAAGUACAUGAUGGACUUCAUUGAAGGAUGGAGAUUUGGAAGACAUGAAUGGAUGAAGAACCAAACGGAGUCUCGCUCUGUUGCCCAGGCUGUAGUUCAGUGGUGCAAUCUCAGCUCACUGCAAGCUCUGCCUCCCGGGUUCAUGCCAUUCUUCUGCCUCAGCCUCCCGAGUAGCUGGGACUACAAGCGCCUGCUACCACGCCUGGCUAAUUUUUUGUAUUUUUUAGUAGAGACGGAGUUUCACCAUGUUAGCCAGGAUGGUCUCGAUCUCCUGACCUUGUGAUCCACCCAUCUCGGCCUCCCAAAGUGCUAGGAUUACAGGCAUGAGCCACCACGCCCAGCCAACUUAUAACUUUUAUAUCAUUAGACACAUGGAAUAUGGGCCUCCGUUUGUACUCUUGCCCUUGGCCCCACAAACGUUAGGGAGAGGCCUGGCUCCUGCAAUGUACUAUUUACCUGUUGUAAAGAAUAGCCCUUCAAAAGUAUUAUUCUAAGUCUGUUUGACAUAAUAGGUCCAAAUUGUAUUACAACAUGGUAAAAAAACAACAAUCCAUUAACAAUCCUCUUUGGAUUUCUAAAAAAGUUUUGGUAGCCUAAACUCUUUCCCCAAUUUUUGAUAUCACUUCAUGUCAUUUUAGAGAGUAAGUUUUCCUGUUUUAUUAAUGUUUAUAUUUAAGCUGAAUUUUCUAAAAGAAUUGUGAGUGUUUUUAUUCUAUUGUGACAUUCAAGGUACGCAGCUGACCCUUGAGUAUAAGUCCCAUCAACUAAGUAAACAUCAAACAUAUCUUCAGUACAUCCCUUUAGAUCUUGACAGUUAUUUAUCACUUUUUCAUAAGUUCCAAAGUUCCAGAUGGUUACUGAUACAUUCAGGCUGACCACUGCUAGAUUUGAGACUUGUCCCACAGAUCUGCACUGUAUCUUCAUACCUUCAUUAAUAGAUCUUUUAUUCUUUUUUUUUUUAAUUUUUUUGGAGACGUGGGUCUCAUUAUGUUGCCCAGGCUGGUCUUGAACUUCUGGCCUCAAGUGAUCCUCCCAACUCAGCCUCCCAAAGUAUUGGAAUUAUAGGUGUGAGCCACUACACCCAGCCUAGAUCUCAAUCAGGUGACACUGAAAAUGUUUGGUCAUAAACCACAGUGAAGGAAGGGGAGGCAGCUGUUAGAUCAUCUGCCUUGACCCACAGUCCUCAUCCAUUUGCACCUUGGCAAGCCCUCUACUACAUCUGAAUCUCGAAAUGGGGGAUAACCUCUUGGGAGAGUCUAUGCUAGUACCCUUCUAGUAGUAGUUUACAAUCUGCCAACAAAUCUUGAAGCCUUAUUUGGUUGAUAUCAAUUUGAGAGGUGGGAGGUUCAGUUUCCAAAGAGUCAGGAAAGAGCAUUCAUCUAGGCUUGAGAAGCCUCCAUUUCCUAACUCAAGAGUUCUGAUUAGGUUGUUGGUUGAGUGACACAAGGCAAUCAUCUCACUUUUCUGUUCCUGAGCUUCUCCUUUUAUAGAAUGUGGGCAGGAGUGUGGAGAGGGAGAAUUUAUUUCAUUUCCUGUUUUCCAAACUUACUAAACUGUGGAAACUUUUUCUUUUGCAGCAUUGGGCAAAACUGAUGUUCUAAGGAACAUUCUUUAGGAAAGGUUAGCCAGAUCCGUGGUUCUCAACAGGCAUGUGGUACACAUUUAAUAAUGUCUGGAGACGUUUUUGGUUGUCACAACUGGGGAUCCAGGGAUGCUGCUAAACAUCCUGCAAUGCCUAGGACAGCCCUCCACAACGGAGAAUUAUCCAACUCAAAAUGCCAAUCAUUCUAAGGGGUUGAAAAACUCUGGACUAUAUGAACUAUCUCAAUUCUCUUUCAACACUAACAUUUAAAUGUGGUGUUUCUUGUUUUUUAAACACACAAAAUUUUAUUUCUGUUUUACACAAAGUCAGCUAUGGGUAUGGAUGAAUCUGCGGACAGUUUUCUUCCAUGUGUUGGCUCCAUAUUUCAGCUGCUUUGAUCUUUUUGACAUCUUAUCAAUGUGUUCUUCUAUGAUUUCCUUGGCAGAGAAAGAGAAAGCAGAGAGAAUCAUGUGCUGGAUCUUAAAUGCUUCUACGUGGAUGUAGUAAAUGUCUCUUCUACUUUUUUUAAAUAAGAAGUGUAUUAAAAUAUAAUCCAUGUAUCAUAUAAUUUACUCAUUUAAGGCAUAAAAUUCGGCUGGGUAUGGUGGCUCACACCUGUAAUCCCAGCACUUUGGGAGGUUGAGGUGGGGUGAAUCUCUUGAGCCCAGGAGUUUGAGACCAGACUGGGCAACAUGGCAAAACCCCAUCUCUACAAAAAAUACAAAAAUUAGCCAGGUGUGGUGGCACGCACCUGUAAUCCCAGCUAUUUGGGAGGUUGAGGUGGGAGUAUUGCUUGAGUUUUGAAGGCAGAGGUUGCAGUGAGCCAAGAUUGUGCCACUGCACUCCAGCCAGGGUGACAGAGUGAGACUGUCUCAAAAAAAAUUUUUCAGCUAAAAUAAAGUGUAAAACUCUGUAGUUUUUAGUGUAUCCACAAAAUGUGUGCAAUCGUCUCUACACUCAAUUUUAGAACAUUUGAAUCACCCCCAGAAGAAACACUGUACCUAUUAACAGCCAUUCCCAAUUUUCCCUCAACACCUCCACCUCAGCCCUAGGCAACCACUAACCUAUUUUCUAUCUCUAUAGGUUUACCUAUACUGGAUAUUACAUAUAAAUGGAAUCAUGUCCUUUGUAACUGUCUUCUUUCACUUUGCAUAAUGUUUUCAAGGUUCAUUCAUGUUGCAUCCUUCUCAAUAUUUCAUUUUUAUUGCUGAAUAAUAUUCCAUUGUAUGAAUAUAACACAUUUUAUUUAUCCAUUCAUCGCUUGAUGGAUAUAUGAGCCAUUUCUACUUUUUAGAUAUUCUGAAUAAUGCUGCUAUGAAUACUUAUAUGCAAGUUUUUACAUGGACGUAUGUCUUCAUUUCUCUUAGGUUAUAUAUCUAAGAAAGGAAUUACUGAAUCAUACGAUAACUUUAUGCUUAGACUUUUGAGAAACUGCCAGACUGCUCUCCAAAAUGACUGUGCCAUUUUACAUUCCCAAAAGUAAUGUAUGAAGUUUCUAAUUUUUCCACACCCUCACCAACACUUAUUAUCUGUGUUUUUGAUUCUUGCCAUCCUAGUGUGUGUGAAGUAGUUUCUCACUGUGAUUUGUAUUUGAAUCUUCUUGAAGGCUAAUGAUUUUGAGCAUCUUUUCAUGUGCUUAUCGUCUCUUCUUUAUAUAGAUGUCUAUUCAGGUCCUUGGCCCAUUUUUAAUUUGGGCUAUUUGUCUUUUCAUUACUGAGUUUUAAGAAUAAUUUUUGUUUAUUCUAGACACACAUCCCAUAUUAGAUAGGUGAUUUGCAACUAUUUCCUCCCAUUCUGUAGGUUUCUUGCUGGUGUCCUUUUAGGAAUAGAAGUUUUACGUUUUGAUGAAGUCAAGUGUGUAUGUUUUCUUUUGUUGCUUGUGUGUUUGAUCUCAUAUCAAAAAACCAUUGCACAAUCCAAGGCCACAAAGAGUUAUGUCUAUGUUUUCUAGAUUUUUAUCAUUUUAGUGCUUACAUUUAGGUCUUUGAUCUUUUUGUGUUAAUUUUUUAUAUUGGGUGUGAGGUAAAAAUCCAACUUCAUUCUUUUGCAUGUGAUAUCCAAUUAUCCAGAACCACUUGUUGAGAAGGCUAGUUCUUCCUCACUGGAUUAUCUUGGCACCCUUGUCAAAAAUAAGUUGACUGUAGAUGUGAAGGUGUAUGAGUUGCUAAAAUACCUCUUCUGUGAUAUUUAUAAUUUAUUUUCUAAAAGGAUAAGUUAUAGGUCACAUCUCAGAUUACAAUGAUUCAAGUCAAAAAGUUCAAAGUAGAAUUUACUUUCAAAAUUGUUUGUUCCCCCAGAGCUAGUUAAUGCCCCCAGAGCUAGUUAAUAAACUCUAUUUGCAGAUAAAAGCAUGCUUUCCCUUCAAAGGUAUUUCACCAAGACGGGAAACACAAAACUAAAUAAGCUGGGAAACUGAGGAUACACAGAGGGUCUCCUUAAUCUCUGGAUAUGUGGUCUAAUGUAUCCUUUUUGUGCUCAUUUUUUCCCUUUUAUCCAGAAAUACAACAUUACCUUUUUAUAAAAUUCCUGGAGAUUGAUCAUAUCUCUAGUGUUUGGGUCUAGAAUGUAUUUUUUGGCCAAAACAUCUCUUUACCCCACUUCCACAUGUGGAAAGAAAGAAAACAUGGUACUCUAAUCUCACAAGUGAGGCAUGGGGUUGUUUCCUGAAAUGAGGCAAGGACUUUGGACAAGAACAUGUUUGGACUUGAGAUGGUUUUUGUAAACCCAAAUGAUAUUAGUUCUAGUCUGUCUUUAUCGCUCACUGUAUUUUGUUUUCAUUCAUACUAAUGAAUAAUAGACUUGAUUGUGUUCCAUCAUUUAUGUCAUUAAUAUUUCCUUUAUGUUUGAGUGCUGUGCAGUUCUCCUUGAAACUUGUAUGGAGAUUGAACUUGAUAGUGAUUUAAAGUAAUUAAUUCAUAUGUCAGUUGUUAGCAAGGUCUAGUAAUUAAAAUCUACUUUAGAGUAAGUUAUUAACUCUCCAAAAUAAAAACACUUUAUCAACUUACCAGUUUUAGCUAUUUAUUCUACUUGACAGAUGAGAUAGGGUAGUUAUUGACUGUACAUAAUCACCUAUGUACUUUCACCACUGAACACUAGGGUCAAAUUGAAGUCUAGGUUAUUAAAGUUCAUAGUUUAAAUCUAGAAUAAACCAGUUCAGGUUGAUGGGAGAAGGAAGAGAGUGUCCUUGGAUCUUGUUAUCUUUGCAAUAUUGUCUCCUUAAAUUUUGCAAAGUCCAUUUUUGCUGUCUUCAAAAUUCUCAAACUUCUAAACUAAAAACACCCUAGACCAAGGAUUUCAUAUUGAGAUCUAAGAUAUCAAAGUGCUAUAUUGUUUAUGAUUUAUUUUAUAAUGCUUUUUAGUAAAACAAACUUUAGAUGCCAUGAUUUCCUUGUGAACAGGCUGGAGGGAAGAAAACAAGUUACACGUAAUGCAUGGGACACAAGUGCAGGCCUUUUAUUUGCAGGCCUAAACUAGUCACAAGUUUCCAUCUUAUGAAAGCAAGUUUUCUUUUAUUCUGCUUUGUUUUUUGUCUUGAUAUCUGGUUACAUUUAUUCAGUUUGAGGGCAUCUUAUAACGGGCCCUUUACUUCCCUCCAUUUGGCUUGUGAUGAACUACUACCAAGGUCAAUCCAGGUCUGACUCUUUCAUGGAGUCAGUGUGGCUGGGGUAGUGUUUCCCAAGCCAAGCUUGUCAUCAGAAUUACCUGGGGUGGUUUGUAAAGAACUUUUCAGGCCUCAUUCCAAACCUACUAAAUUUAGAUCUCUGGUGUGGAGCCUGUAAAUCUGUAUGUUUGAAACCUUCCCAAGGUGAUUCUGAUGUCCAGUCAUAUUUGGGUCAUAGUCCAGAAUGCAGUCAUGCAUUGCUUAAUGACAGGGAUUUGUUCUGAAAAAUGUGUCAUUAGGUAAUUUCUUCAUUGUAGAACCAUCAUAGAGUGUGAUUACACAAACCUAGAUGGUAUAGCCUACUACACACCUAGGCUAUGUGGUAUAGCCUAUUGCUCCCAGGCUACAAACCUGUACAGUAUGUUGCUGUACUGAACACUGUAAGUAAUUGUAAUACAAUGGUAAGUAUGUGUGUAUCUAAAUAUAUCUUAACAUAGAAAAGGUGCAGUAAAAAUACAGUAUUCAAAUCUCAUGAAACCACCAUCAUAUAAGAGGUCCGUAGUUGAACUGAAAUGUUGUUGUGUUGCCCAUGAUUGUACUUGGAUUUCAGGACUCUGCAGAUGCUUGGAGGUCUUAUGGGUUUGGCCAUGGGGUAUUGCCUCUGAGAAACUGCCAUCUGCUUGCCAGAGAUUCUGAAAAGACCAGAGUUGCCUAUUUGCAGUCUGUUCUUCAAGACUAUCUACUAUGUUGGCAAAAAGGCCUAGGUUUCUUCUCUGUCCAUUCUCAAUCCCUCAAUCUGUCCUUGUGACUUACUUGCUCCUUCAAGCUGCCCAGUAGUGGCGCUGGUGAAAAUAAAAUAGACUUUGGUCCUACAGACCUGUCAUGGACUCUCAGCUCAGCCUCUUCUAUGUGUGCCAUUUGCCUCAUCUGUAAAUGUAGUUAAUAUUGUCCUCUCAAAGAUGUUAGGAAAACCAGAAGAAUGUAUUUAUGUAACACCUAGAACAAGUAUACCCUGCAUUAGGCAUUAUUUGUUUGGUUUUACCUGUCCAUCUCAAUGAACAUGCUGGGUUAAUGAAGUGUGUUCAUCAAUUUUCCCUGAUCGUAGCCUUUUAGAUUGCUCUGGGCAGUGUUUCUCAAAGUAGGAGACACAGACCACCUACCUGUGAUUGACAGGAGGACAGAAAUCUGCUCUAAUGCACUCUAACCUUCUGCACUUUUCACUUUUUAUUGAAAUAUACAUAUAGAAAGGUGUAUUUAUUGUAAGUGAACAGCUCAGUGGCUUUUCCUAAACUGAACACACCCAUGUAACCAGCACCCAGAUCAAGAAACAGAACAUUA
RNAcentral lists this long non-coding RNA (7102 nucleotides) under Homo sapiens (human). RNAcentral's name for it is "HSALNT0307484". The record is from RNAcentral. Lineage: Eukaryota; Metazoa; Chordata; Mammalia; Primates; Hominidae.